Molecule: long non-coding RNA, 1961 nt
Organism: Triticum aestivum (bread wheat)
Lineage: Eukaryota; Viridiplantae; Streptophyta; Magnoliopsida; Poales; Poaceae
Exons: 2
Source: RefSeq, a predicted model, not a curated record
UUUUGAACUCUUGAUAUGGUGAAUGUUUGAUUGCUAGAACAUUUAAGGCAUGCUUGAUACUUUUAAUAAGUAUUGCAUAUAGAAAGAAGUAUGGCAUGCAUGCAUGUAUAUGUUCAUAUUUUCUCUUGCAUGCAUUCCAUUCCAAGUUCUGUUAUGCAUAAAUUGUGAAUACACCGGAGUGUGCUCCUGCUCUGGACGUGCCGGUGGGCACGGGCCAUAUUUGACACGGUGGUGUCCUGUGAUAAGUGAAAGCAGGCAAGGGUAGUGGCCCUGUCCUGGUGAUAUUGUUAAAGGAAAUUCUGUUGUACUAAUCACUGCAGGAAACAUAAGCCUCCUGAGUCGACCGUAGAUCGAGUCUUGUUCUGGUAACCCCCAUACUUGUAUCGUGCUACCACUUGUCCCUGCCUCGGGUAGGGUAUGGUUUAGUAAGUUGAUAACCCCUUUCCGUGCACACACCGUACAGAGGGCUACGAUGAGGGUUACCAAUGGCCAUGGACUAAAUCCUGUCAUCGGGUCAGGGAGCAUGGGUGUUUCCGGCUGUCGUGAUGCCGAGAGGGAGAGUACCCUUGUAAUCCGCGCGUAUAAAUAGUGAUCCCAUGCUUUUGGAGGUUGUAGCCUCCCCGACUUAGAGUUUUUCUGGAACGAUGCUUUGGGUGAUUCCUGGCAUCUGGACGGAUUUUCUGGUGUGUGCGGGUCAGGCAUGUUUUCAACCCAAAAACCGUAAUGGGAAUUAGCCAGUGCCACGGUUCUGACUAAAGAAAUCCUUUACUUGUGGGUAAAGAGUACACCCUCUGCAGAGUUUAAAAAACUAUUCGAAUAGCCGUGUCCGCGGUUAAGGACUACAGUCUGGGUUGGUCAAGUGUCGGUCUUAGAGUCGGUCUCCGGAGGAAAUAAUUAAAAUUGAGCAUGGUUUAUUUUGCAGAAGAAUUAUUACUGCUACUGAUGUUAUUAUGACUAUUAUUGAUGCUAUGAUUAUUAUUGUGGACUAACAGAUUGCUCUUAUUUUAUUUUCCAGAGUGUCUCAGGGGCUGGCUGGACUACCCCGGACACUCGAAUUUAUUUUCAAGACCUCUCGUGGUGUUGCCUGAGUUCUCGGAUGGUUAGGAUUUCUGCAAGGAGUACCACAGUGAUGACCAUGCGGAGCCUAGGAGUGCAGCCACGGGAGAUAGGAUUUAUCCGGGUCAGCUGUUCCUGUGGAAAUGGAGCCCCAUCGACGUUGGAGGACCACAAGUCAAUUCCGUCAUCCACCACCAGACACCAUUUAGUACUCAUCGGACCAUUAUGGUCACCAGACAUCAUUGUUGUAUCACUAGACCUUUGCGGUCUUGUAUCAAAUACUUGUAAUUGCUUGGUACAAGGACGUGUCCACCAGUAACAGAAAUCCUGGGCUGGUGAUGACACGAGGGGUUAAUUUCUGGAUAAUUGUGUUCCCGAAAUCCGGCCCCGAGAGCCUAUCAUGCCAUGAUUUAAUUCCUGUCAGCAUACAUUUAAUAUAGUCUAGUAUGAGCAUAUGCAUAUAGUUUAGUUCAUCAUGACCAUAUAAUUGUCUGCUGCAUUUGUUAUAUCAUUUAUUCAUGAUGUUUGCGAGUACAUUCAAACAUACUCACUGGCUUGUCCCUGGCUAUUUACUUGGCCAGGUUAGAACUUCUACGAGGAGUAACACAGCGACAUCCGUGCGGAGCCUAGAAGUGCAGCCACGGGAGAUAGGAUUUAUCCGGGUCAGCUGUUCCUGUGGGAAUGGAGCCCCAUCGACGUUGGAGGACCACAAGUCAAUUCCGUCAUCCACCACCAGAUACCAUUUAGUACUCAUCAGACCUUUAUGGUCACCACACAUCAUUGUUGUAUCACUAGACCUUUGCGGUCUUGUAUCAAAUACUUGUAAUUGCUUGGCAUUCUGUAACAAGGACGUGUCCACCAGUAACAGAAAUCCUGGGCUGGUGAUGACACGAGGGGUUAAUUUC